CAGCAGCCACGGGAAUACGUAGGUGGCAAGCGUUGUCCGGAAUUAUUGGGCGUAAAGCGCGCGCAGGUGGUUUAAUAAGUCUGAUGUGAAAGCCCACGGCUCAACCGUGGAGGGUCAUUGGAAACUGUUAAACUUGAGUGCAGGAGAGAAAAGUGGAAUUCCUAGUGUAGCGGUGAAAUGCGUAGAGAUUAGGAGGAACACCAGUGGCGAAGGCGGCUUUUUGGCCUGUAACUGACACUGAGGCGCGGAAGCGUGGGGAGCAAACAGGAUUAGAUACCCCGGUAGUCCCUGUCUCUUAUAU
RNAcentral lists this ribosomal RNA (301 nucleotides) under uncultured bacterium. RNAcentral describes it as "partial 16S ribosomal RNA". It matches the Rfam family "Bacterial small subunit ribosomal RNA", at positions 509 to 809 of the family's 1533-position model. The record is from RNAcentral.